GCUGCUCCUAGAGGUGCUGCAGGUGUGGCUGCGGUGUCGCAUGUGCAUCAGUAGGUGGCAGCGAGGACAGAGGCCAUGUCUACACUCAGUGCUCUGACCUCUGAACAUCUGAAUAAUUAGUAGCAGCCUAACACU
This is a small nucleolar RNA of Acomys russatus (golden spiny mouse), 135 nucleotides long. RefSeq annotates it as small nucleolar RNA SNORA17. Lineage: Eukaryota; Metazoa; Chordata; Mammalia; Rodentia; Muridae. The transcript has a single exon. The record is from RefSeq and is a predicted model, not a curated record.